UCUUGAGUAAGGUCAAGUAGAAAAGGGGCGCACGGUGAAUGCCUAGGCACUAAAAGCCGAUGAAGGACGUGACGAACUACGAAAAGCUUCGGGGAGCGGUAAGUACGCAGUGAUCCGGAGAUGUCCGAAUGGGGGAACCCAAUGCAGCGAUGCAUUAUUGGUUGAUGAAUAGAUAGUCAAUCAAGGGAAUACGCAGUGAACUGAAACAUCUAAGUAGCUGCAGGAAGAGAAAGAAAAAUCGAUUUUCCUUAGUAGCGGCGAGCGAAGGAGGAAGAGAGCCCCAAAACCAAGGUGAUUUAUCAUUUGGGGUUUGUUAGGGACUGCAACGUGGUAGCGUGAGUGAUAGCAGAAUUAUCUGGGAAGGUAAGCCAGAGAGGGUGAGAGCCCCGUAAGCGAAAUUGCAAGCGCGCCUAGCAGAAUCCUGAGUAGACCGGGACACGAGAAAUCCCGGUUGAAAA
RNAcentral lists this ribosomal RNA (458 nucleotides) under Lactobacillus helveticus. Its description in RNAcentral is "bacterial LSU rRNA". It matches the Rfam family "Bacterial large subunit ribosomal RNA", at positions 1 to 444 of the family's 2925-position model. The record is from RNAcentral. Lineage: Bacteria; Bacillati; Bacillota; Bacilli; Lactobacillales; Lactobacillaceae.